This 68-nucleotide transfer RNA is filed under the name Cyphoderris monstrosa. RNAcentral describes it as "tRNA-Lys". The record is from RNAcentral. Lineage: Eukaryota; Metazoa; Arthropoda; Insecta; Orthoptera; Prophalangopsidae.
CAUCAGAUGACUGAAAGUAAGUAGUGGUCUCUUAAACCAUUAAUAGUAAUUAACAACUACUUCUGAUG